Molecule: ribosomal RNA, 504 nt
Filed under: uncultured bacterium
Lineage: Bacteria
Description: bacterial SSU rRNA
Rfam family: Bacterial small subunit ribosomal RNA
Source: RNAcentral
CGUCCACGCCCGCUCAAGAAACUACAAUGAAUUGGACGGGGCCCGCACAAGCGGAGGAGCAUGUGGUUUAAUUCGAUGAUACGCGAGGAACCUUACCUGGGCUCGAACGUAAGAUGACUGUAGGUGAAAGCUUACAUCUCUUCGGAGCUAUUUUACGAGGUGCUGCAUGGUUGUCGUCAGCUCGUGCCGUGAGGUGUCGGGUUAAGUCCCAUAACGAGCGCAACCCCUAUCAUUAGUUGCCAUCAGGUCAAGCUGGGGACUCUAAUGAAACUGCCUACGCAAGUAGUGAGGAAGGUGGGGAUGACGUCAAAUCAGCACGGCCCUUACGUCCAGGGCUACACACGUGCUACAAUGGUCGGUACAAAGGGUUGCCAAGCCGCGAGGUGGAGCUAAUCCCAUAAAACCGAUCGUAGUCCGGAUCGCAGUCUGCAACUCGACUGCGUGAAGUCGGAAUCGCUAGUAAUCGUGAAUCAGAAUGUCACGGUGAAUACGUUCCCGGGCCUU